UACUCCCGAGAGACCGAUAGUGAACCAGUACCGUGAGGGAAAGGUGAAAAGCACUUCGAACAGAAGAGUGAAAUAGUCCCUGAACCCAUACGCCUACAAGCUGUCGGAGCCGCUUCGUGCGGUGACGGCGUGCCUUUUGCAUAAUGAGCCUACGAGUUACUCAUCACCAGCGAGGUUAAGUACUUCAGGUACGUAAGCCGAAGCGAAAGCGAGUCUGAAUAGGGCGUCAAGUUGGUGGUGGUAGACGCGAAACCUUAGUGAUCUACCCAUGGGCAGGGUGAAGGUUUGGUAACACAAACUGGAGGCCCGAACCGGUAAACGUUGAAAAGUUUUCGGAUGACCUGUGGGUAGGGGUGAAAGGCCAAUCAAACUGGGAAAUAGCUCGUACUCUCCGAAAUGCAUUUAGGUGCAGCCUCUGUUGUUUUGUUCUAGAGGUAGAGCUACUGAUUGGAUGCGAGGGCUUCACCGCCUAUCAAAUCCGGCCAAACUCCGAAUGCUAGAACAUGAAGACAGGGAGUGAGCCAGCGGGUGCUAAGGUCCGUUGACGAAAGAGGGAGAACUCAGACCAUCAGCUAAGGUCCCCAAUUAUAUGCUAAGUUGGAAUUAAAACGGGGUGGGACUGCUUAGACAGCUAGGAUGUUGGCUUGGAAGCAGCCAUUCAUUUAAAGAGUGCGUAACAGCUCACUAGUCGAGCGGUCCUGCAUGGAUAAUACGCGGGCAUAAGCAUAUAACCGAAGCUAUGGGAUUGUAGAUGAUACAAUCGGUAGGAGAGCAUUCCAUUCAGCGUAGAAGCAGUAUCGUGAGGUAUUGUGGAGCGGAUGGAAAAGCAAAUGUAGGCAUAAGUAACGAUAAUGCGGGUGAGAACCCCGCACGCCGAAAGAUCAAGGAUUCCCCGGCAAUGUCAAUCAUCCGGGGGUAAGUCGGAUCCUAAGGGUAAGCCGAGUGGCGAUCCCGAUGGCAAACAGGUUAAUAUUCCUGUACUGAUCAUAACUGCGAUGCAGCGACGCAGAGGUGACACUGCUGCGUACUGACGGAAUAGUACGUUGAAACCCGUAUUCUUUGAUACCGGUAGUGAAGCACGCCGGUAGAGAUGAAAGGUGAUAGUACCGCAAUGCUUCGGUUGCGCGGAUAACGCAGGUAAGCUGACUGCCAAGAAAACCUGCUAAGCUUCAGGUAAUGAUCAUCCGUACUGUAAACGGACACACGUGAUCAGGUAGAAAAUACUAAGGCGCUCGAGAGAUUCAUGGUUAAGGAACUAGGCAAAAUGGUCCUGUAACUUCGGGAUAAAGGACGCUCUUGUGAAAGAGCCGCAGAUAAUAGGCCCAGGCGACUGUUUACCAAAAACACAUGGCUAUGCUAAUUCGCAAGAAGAUGUAUAUGGCCUGACACCUGCCCGGUGCCGGAAGGUUAAGAGGAGAGCUCAGAGGCAACUCGAAGGUUUGAAUUGAAGCCCCGGUAAACGGCGGCCGUAACUAUAACGGUCCUAAGGUAGCGAAAUUCCUUGUCGGGU
This 1510-nucleotide ribosomal RNA is filed under the name human gut metagenome. RNAcentral describes it as "bacterial LSU rRNA". It matches the Rfam family "Bacterial large subunit ribosomal RNA", at positions 471 to 1977 of the family's 2925-position model. The record is from RNAcentral.